GACGAACGCUGGCGGCGUGCCUAAUACAUGCAAGUAGAACGCACAGUUUAUACCGUAGCUUGCUACACCAUAGACUGUGAGUUGCGAACGGGUGAGUAACGCGUAGGUAACCUGCCUGGUAGCGGGGGAUAACUAUUGGAAACGAUAGCUAAUACCGUAUAAUAUUAAUUAUUGCAUGAUAAUUAAUUGAAAGGUGCAAUUGCACCACUACCAGAUGGACCUGCGUUGUAUUAGCUAGUAGGUGAGGUAACGGCUCACCUAGGCGACGAUACAUAGCCGACCUGAGAGGGUGAUCGGCCACACUGGGACUGAGACACGGCCCAGACUCCUACGGGAGGCAGCAGUAGGGAAUCUUCGGCAAUGGACGAAAGUCUGACCGAGCAACGCCGCGUGAGUGAAGAAGGGUUUCGGAUCGUAAAGCCCUGUUGUAAGAGAAGAACGGGUGUGAGAGUGGAAAGUUCACACUGUGACGGUAUCUUACCAGAAAGGGACGGCUAACUACGUG
This 505-nucleotide ribosomal RNA is filed under the name uncultured bacterium. RNAcentral's name for it is "partial 16S ribosomal RNA". It matches the Rfam family "Bacterial small subunit ribosomal RNA", at positions 28 to 507 of the family's 1533-position model. The record is from RNAcentral.